CUCUCUACCCAAGGGUAGGGGUAAGGUCUGCGUACAUACUACCCUCCCCAGACCCACUAAGUGGGAUUAUACUGGGUUGUUGUUCUUGUUGUUGUUGUGGUGUUGGUGUGUUUGUGGUGGUGGUGGUUUUUUUUUGUUGCUGGAGUGUGUGGGUGUGUGGUGGUGGGGUGGAGUGAUGGGGAGGGAAGGGGGAGGAAGAAAGAUAACACAUGUCAAAUUAUAUAGAACUCGGGAGGGGAAGGAAGAAAGAUAUAUUACCUUUUCGAAAAAAAAAAAGGAGGAAGACAGAUAACACAUACAAAUUAGAUAGAGCUAUAUUCUAUGCAAUAGGAGAGCAACUUCUACCUUCGGAUGAUUAGUUGUAGGAAAUCAAUCUCCUACUAAAGCCUCAACUUGGUGCAACUACUUGUAUGAGAACUUGACUCAGGACCGACUUCUCACACCCCAUGAUUGAUUGUCUUCAUAAACAAGUAUCCUCUCAUAUCAUUCAACCACCUUUCUAAAAGACAUAGCCAACCCUCCAACUCAACCCCCGCCACUCUCAAGAUGAAAGGACAAACAAUGGAGCAUUGCAUGAUAGGAGCAAUAAUAAAGGCAUCAGCAAAUGAAGCAUACUAACUGUAUCCAAAAACAGUAUGAAAGAGAACAAAGAGAGAUGGUUUAACUUCAGAUGGGAGCAGACACUUCAAACAAAUGCAGAGAAAAUGAGUACCUACUUUUGCAUACAUGAAUAAAUUCCACCAAACAUGCUGAUUCAUUUGCAAUAAUAUCAGCACUUGCACAUAAAUCAUAUAACAAAAGAAAGCAUGCGUAGAAAAGAAUAUUGAGACUUACCAUCAGAUAUAUACCUGCUUCAGUUAAUUUCAACCAAUACUCCCAAAAGCUAUCAGAUUCCACGUUGAUUGGCAGUAAAAAUCACUGUGUUUUGGCAUUACUGAUACAUAAAGCACUACUAAUCACAGCACUGAAGAUCCAGUGUCUACAGAGAACUGCAGGCACCCAUGCAGCUUAAGCUGUAUGCACAUUCCAUAGCCACGACAUCCUCUUCAGAAGAGCAAUCUACUUUUAGCAAGAUAUUUUUUGCCAAUAAAAUGACAAGGACACAUAGGAAAUCAUGAUUGAAUAUUAUCACAGAUAAUGAAGAAACAUGUAGGCUCUCUAGUAACGUAGCAAUACUUUUGAAGAUAUUGUGAAAGGGCACAUUGCCCAACAUUGCAUCAUAAUCAAAACUAGAACAACACUUAGAAAUCUCCACCAGGUCUAGCAUCUAGAGCAUCAAAUAGGAAAAUCCAACUAACAGUAGAUUCAUACAAAUAACAAUAAACUGAAAACAAGACAACAGGACACAUGGCCGAGAUCUGACAGUUAAAUUCAUCUAUAGUACAACUACAAAUGGGAAGAAAGGAUGAGGCCGCAGGCUACACAGGUUCUUGGAAGCACAAGAGUUUGAUCUCGGAAAUAUAUGGUGUCAGGUCUUGGCAAAUUUUGAUAGUAGGUAAGAUCUUCGGACAUGGUCCUCUGACAGUUAAAUCCAUCUAUAGUACUACUACAAAAUGGGAAGAAAGGAUGAGGCCGCAGGCUAUACAGGUUCUUGGAAGCACAAGAGUUUGAUCUCGGAAAUAUAUGGUGUCAGGUCUUGGCAAAUUUUGAUAGUAGGUAAGAUCUUCGGACAUGGUCCUCCUAAGGAAAACAUCAAGGUAGACAAUGGAUUUCAAUAUCUGCAUUCAUCCGGUCAUCUGGUUUAGGCAUGAGGCUUCAUCAAAGGUGACAGUAGGCUGGCUUCAGGCUUCAGAUAUCUCGGCUGUUUGUAGAGAGGGAAAGGAAACAAAGGGAAAAGAAUAUCAUUAGUUUCAUAAUUGGAAGAUAGGUUAGGUCAUCAUACCAAACUGUGUGUUACUUUUGUAUGACCCGGGCUAGGUAUAUAAAACCAGCUACUACAAUUAAAAAUUCAAUGCAAUAGAGCCAAAAUUCAUGGGCUACCUGUGGUCCUGUUACCAGCUCUAAUAACCAUAACUUUUUCUCCGGGAGGCGGAGUUUUGCCUUGAUGACCUGGUAACAUAAACUUAACAUAAUGAAUAAGAAUAGGACAAGCAACUUUGAAUUCUUUAGAGCAGUUGAAAGUAGACGAGCUAAAUAAGAAAUCCGCUGCAAGAAAGGGCAGAUCAAACUCACCAACCACAAGUUCUAACCAAAACGACAGUAGGUCAGACGUAAACAUGCAAGAUCCAAAUAUAUGGUCAAAACAUUUAGCUUCUUGAAAAGCAUACAAUUCAAGAAAUAAUGAAAACUACAAUCUAGUGCUUGUUUUUCUUUCAAGAAAAUCUAGAGGCAGCGUGAUAACA
This 2342-nucleotide long non-coding RNA is filed under the name Nicotiana benthamiana. RNAcentral describes it as "long non-coding RNA (NBEN_LNC004714)". Lineage: Eukaryota; Viridiplantae; Streptophyta; Magnoliopsida; Solanales; Solanaceae. The record is from RNAcentral.